UGCACGCAUGACUAUAUGUCGCUUUGGAUAAAAGCAUCUGCUAAAUGGUAUAUA
Non-coding RNA from Salmo salar (Atlantic salmon), 54 nucleotides. Lineage: Eukaryota; Metazoa; Chordata; Actinopteri; Salmoniformes; Salmonidae. The record is from Rfam.